CCAAUAGCGUAUAUUAAAGUUGUUGCAGUUAAAAAGCUCGUAGUUGAAUUUCGGGGUUAGUAGGUUGGUCAUGCCUCUGGUAUGUACUGGUCUCACUGAUUCCUCCUUCCUGAUGAUCCGUAAUGCCAUUUAUUUGGUGUUGCGGGGAAUUUGGACUGUUACUUUGAAAAAAUUAGAGUGUUUAAAGCAAGCUAACGCUUGAAUACAUUAGCAUGGAAUAAUGAAAUAGGACGUUCGAUCCUAUUUUGUUGGUUUCUAGGAUUGACGUAAUGAUUAAUAGGGAUAGUUGGGGGCAUUAGUAUUCAAUUGUCAGAGGUGAAAUUCUUGGAUUUAUUGAAGACUAACUACUGCGAAAGCAUUUGCCAAGGAUGUUUUCAUUAAUCAAGAACGAAAGUUAGGGGAUCGAAGACGAUCAGAUACCGUCGUAGUCUUAACCAUAAACUAUGCCGACUAGGGAUCGGAUGAUGUUAAUUUUAUAAUGACUCAUUCGGCGCCUUACG
This 500-nucleotide ribosomal RNA is filed under the name uncultured Glomeromycotina. Its description in RNAcentral is "partial small subunit ribosomal RNA". It matches the Rfam family "Eukaryotic small subunit ribosomal RNA", at positions 591 to 1092 of the family's 1831-position model. The record is from RNAcentral. Lineage: Eukaryota; Fungi; Glomeromycota.